CCAUGUUGCUACUUUCUGACGUUUUUCCUUAAAAAGAGAAAAGAAAAUAUUUUUUCUAUUUAAGAUAAUUGGUGUCAUGACUCGUCGAAAUAGCAUGGAGAUCUAUAUCUGAAAAUAUGAAUUAAGAAAGAGAGCAAAAGUAUAAUAACAAGACCAUUUAAGCAAAAAAGUUACUACUAUGAAAAUAUAACAUUGAAAAUUAAGUGAUGGUUCGUGUUUUUCACCGAUUUCAAGACUCUAGACUACCCUUUCUAUUUCUAUUCUCUUCAAUGAUGAUGAAUUAUGUUGAAUAUCCUAAAAUAUAUGGGUAAAAUGUUGGCUUUUUUCAUUCUUUAAACCUUUUUUUUGAAAAUUAAAAAAAAUGGCAAUUAAUAAAAAUAGCUGAUUUUACUGAAAAAAGUUAAUUUUUCUUCCAUCCUCCAUUAGGUAUCAUUACCUCCUUGACCAGAAUUCCUGCAUCAAUCCUUUUAAAGAGAAAGCAUAGAAUCCAUAUUGAAUGUUUUUGGUGCACCAACUAAUUGUUCUUCUUUGUGUAUAUCAUUUAUAUGCUAGAAUCUUGAUUUCUCAUGUUUGGUUGUAAUGCUGGAUUUUUCUGGUCUUGGUUUUUGACUUCCUAAAUUUUGUUGGGUUUCCUUUAGAUUUUCUCUUUUUUAGAUUUUCUUUUUUUACCUUGUAAGAUACGUUAAGACAUAUUCGAAUGUGAUACAAUUUCUCUUCUUUAUAAAAUUGUUAUGUUACUGGACGUUUAAUUAUGGGGUGAUAUUGAAGAAAGAACCUAUAUAUAUAUAUAUGGAAAAAUUUUGGAUAUUUAUAAAUAGAAGACCUCCUUCUCAUACCAUAACACAAUUGCAUCCACAAUGUAGUCGUUUAAAGAGUUUUGUUUAGGGGGAGAUUUUCUCUCUAAUAGUUUUAUGUUUUCUUUUAUAUUAGGUUUUUAUAUGUAGGCCAAUUGACCAAACCAUAUAAUCAUCAUGUUUUUAGUAUGUUUUUCUUUUUGUCUAAUUUACUGUCUAAAUAGUUUGCAACUAAUAGCUUCCGCAUGACGCCCUCUCGAUUUUGAACCCAACACUUUCAAUUUUAUUUUUGAUUUUCAUAAUCUCCAUUCACUAAUUCAGGUACUUUAAUUAUUUUUAGAGUUAAAAAUUUAAAAUAUGAUUUUGAAUUUGAAUUUUAUAUGAUAUUUAUCUAUUUCUUAUCCAUUACAAUUGCUAUAAAAAAAUAUCAGAGUUAGCUCGACUGUGCAAAAAUUUGACUGCUUAUUUGGUAUUGUUGUUCUUGUGAAUGCCUAUAUGAUGAUAACAAACUUAUUUAGGAUUCCAUGCACUUGUUAUCCCCUUCCAGCAAGUCAACAAUUCACCUAAGUUUAACCAAUUAAAUUAUUUCUAUAAUUUUUUUUACUAUUAGGAUGCAACUAACCAUAAAAAGAAGAGACAAUAAAGUAGCUGAAAAAGAAACAUUAUAUGUCAAUCAUGUUUUGCAUCUCUUUUCAGUGAUGAUUAUGUUCUUUGAUGAAGAAAACUAACUCAUACUUACAAAAGUUUUUUUCUCCAAUUUUCUAUUGUCAAUCUUUUAUUUUUUUUCUCCGUUGUUACUGCUUCUGUGGACGAGCUUUCUUUUCUAUGAACUACGUACAUCAAAAAUGAACUUCGCAACAGCAUGGAUGAUGAAUUUUUAAAUGGUUAUUUAGUUUGCUAUGUAGAGCGUAAAAUAUUUGCAGCUGUAAGUAAUUAUGUUAUUAUUCAUCGUUUUGAAAAUAUAAAAAAUCAUAGAGCAUAAUUGUGAUUAAAAGUCUUUUUUCUAAAUUCAAACUUAUGACGUGAAGUCUACUUUGUAUGAAACUUGUGACUGGAAACCUUUUUUGGCAAUGAUAAUAUUAAUUGUACUUUUAUUUUAAUGUUGCAUUUAAAUAGUUAUAUAUUUAUACUAUAUCAUCAUUAGCAAAUUAUGUUUAAAAAAAAUAAAGUAUUUACAACCUUUAAAUCUGGGUCCGCCGGUAAUUCCACGUGGCAAAGGAAAAGUCAUUUGAGUCUCAUCCCUUACUGGAGUGCACGUCAGAAUUGAAAUCUCCAUGUUGCUACUUUCUGACGUUUUUCCUUAAAAAGAGAAAAGAAAAUAUUUUUUCUAUUUAAGAUAAUUGGUGUCAUGACUCGUCGAAAUAGCAUGGAGAUCUAUAUCUGAAAAUAUGAAUUAAGAAAGAGAGCAAAAGUAUAAUAACAAGACCAUUUAAGCAAAAAAGUUACUACUAUGAAAAUAUAACAUUGAAAAUUAAGUGAUGGUUCGUGUUUUUCACCGAUUUCAAGACUCUAGACUACCCUUUCUAUUUCUAUUCUCUUCAAUGAUGAUGAAUUAUGUUGAAUAUCCUAAAAUAUAUGGGUAAAAUGUUGGCUUUUUUCAUUCUUUAAACCUUUUUUUUGAAAAUUAAAAAAAAUGGCAAUUAAUAAAAAUAGCUGAUUUUACUGAAAAAAGUUAAUUUUUCUUCCAUCCUCCAUUAGGUAUCAUUACCUCCUUGACCAGAAUUCCUGCAUCAAUCCUUUUAAAGAGAAAGCAUAGAAUCCAUAUUGAAUGUUUUUGGUGCACCAACUAAUUGUUCUUCUUUGUGUAUAUCAUUUAUAUGCUAGAAUCUUGAUUUCUCAUGUUUGGUUGUAAUGCUGGAUUUUUCUGGUCUUGGUUUUUGACUUCCUAAAUUUUGUUGGGUUUCCUUUAGAUUUUCUCUUUUUUAGAUUUUCUUUUUUUACCUUGUAAGAUACGUUAAGACAUAUUCGAAUGUGAUACAAUUUCUCUUCUUUAUAAAAUUGUUAUGUUACUGGACGUUUAAUUAUGGGGUGAUAUUGAAGAAAGAACCUAUAUAUAU
This 2851-nucleotide long non-coding RNA is filed under the name Capsicum annuum. RNAcentral describes it as "long non-coding RNA (CANN_LNC006931)". Lineage: Eukaryota; Viridiplantae; Streptophyta; Magnoliopsida; Solanales; Solanaceae. The record is from RNAcentral.